Molecule: ribosomal RNA, 1258 nt
Filed under: uncultured fungus
Lineage: Eukaryota; Fungi
Description: eukaryotic LSU rRNA
Rfam family: Eukaryotic large subunit ribosomal RNA (bases 623-1258)
Source: RNAcentral
GUCGUAACAAGGUUUCCGUAGGUGAACCUGCGGAAGGAUCAUUAUCGAAUAAACUUGCACAGGCUGUUGCUGGCCCUUGAGGGGGUAUGUGCACGCUUGUCAUCUUUAUCAUUUCUCCCAACUGUGCACAUAUUGUAGACUUUUUUUUGAAUUCCUUAUCAGAAUUCAAGUUGGGGGACUGCUGUGCUUAACAGUCGGCUUUCCCUUGUAUUUUUCAGGUCUAUGUCAUUUUUCACAACCUCUAUAAUAUGUUUAGAAUGUUGAAUCAGGUCCUUGUACCUAUAUAAAAAGUUAUAAAAAACUUUCAACAACGGAUCUCUUGGUUCUGGCAUCGAUGAAGAACGCAGCGAAAUGCGAUAAGUAAUGCGAAUUGCAGAAUUCCGUGAGUCAUCGAAUCUUUGAACGCACAUUGCGCCCUUUGGUAUUCCGAAGGGCAUGCCUGUCCGAGCGUCAUUAUCAACCCUCAAGCCCGGCUUGUCGUUGAAUCUCACCGGUGGCGACGCCGGUGGAUUCCAAAGAUAGUGGCAGAGUUCCCGGACCCUGGAUGCAGCGAGCUUUCUCCAGCACGCGUCCCGGCGGUCGGUGGGCUCCGUCUCAACCCCUGAAGAUUUUUCACUCUGGUUGACCUCGGAUCAGGUAGGGAUACCCGCUGAACUUAAGCAUAUCAAUAAGCGGAGGAAAAGAAACCAACCGGGAUUGCCUCAGUAACGGCGAGUGAAGCGGCAACAGCUCAAAUUUGAAAUCUGGCCCCUUUGGGGGUCCGAGUUGUAAUUUGUAGAGGAUGCUUCGGGCAAGGCCGCGGUCUAAUUUGCGUGGAACCGCAAGUCACAGAGGGUGAGAAUCCCGUCUAGGACCGUGGGCCGCGUCCAUGUGAAGCUCCUUCGACGAGUCGAGUUGUUUGGGAAUGCAGCUCUAAAUGGGUGGUAAAUUUCAUCUAAAGCUAAAUAUUGGCCAGAGACCGAUAGCGCACAAGUAGAGUGAUCGAAAGAUGAAAAGCACUUUGAAAAGAGAGUUAAACAGUAUGUGAAAUUGUUGAAAGGGAAGCGCUUGCGAUCAGACUUGCGGGUGACGGCUCCCCCCCCCUUCGGGGGUGGCUACUCCGUCACUUCCAGGCCAGCAUCGGUUUGGGUGGUCGGUCAAAGACCCCGGGAAUGUAUCUACCCUCCGGGGUCGACUUAUAGCCCGGGGUGCAAUGCGGCCCACCUGGACCGAGGAACGCGCUUCGGCUCGGAUGCUGGCGUAAUGGUCGUAAGCGGCC